RNAcentral lists this unclassified non-coding RNA (350 nucleotides) under plant metagenome. RNAcentral describes it as "partial contains 5.8S ribosomal RNA, internal transcribed spacer 2, and large subunit ribosomal RNA". The stretch from base 1 to 105 matches the Rfam family "5.8S ribosomal RNA", at positions 50 to 154 of the family's 154-position model. The record is from RNAcentral.
GAAAUGCGAUAAGUAAUGUGAAUUGCAGAAUUCAGUGAAUCAUCGAAUCUUUGAACGCACCUUGCGCUCCUUGGUAUUCCGAGGAGCAUGCCUGUUUGAGUGUCAUGGAAUUCUCAACUCUAUUUGCUUUUGUGAAUAGAGCUUGGAUUUGGAGGUUUAUUGCUGGUACUUGUGAUCGGCUCCUCUCGAAUGCAUUAGCUCGAACCUUUGCGGAUCUGCUAUCGGUGUGAUAAUUGUCUACGCCGUUGCAGUGAAGCAUAUCAAUGGGCUCGGCUUCCAAUCGUCCUUUACUGGACAAUGACUUUGACCUUUGACCUCAAAUCAGGUAGGAUUACCCGCUGAACUUAAGC